GAUGAACGCUAGCUACAGGCUUAACACAUGCAAGUCGAGGGGAAACGGCAUCGAAAGCUUGCUUUUGAUGGGCGUCGACCGGCGCACGGGUGAGUAACGCGUAUCCAACCUGCCCAUCACUUGGGAAUAACCUUGCGAAAGUAAGACUAAUGCCCAAUGACAUCCCACGAAGGCAUCCGAAUGGGAUUAAAGAUUUAUCGGUGAUGGAUGGGGAUGCGUCUGAUUAGCUUGUUGGCGGGGUGACGGCCCACCAAGGCAACGAUCAGUAGGGGUUCUGAGAGGAAGGUCCCCCACAUUGGAACUGAGACACGGUCCAAACUCCUACGGGAGGCAGCAGUGAGGAAUAUUGGUCAAUGGGCGAUAGCCUGAACCAGCCAAGUAGCGUGCAGGAUGACGGCCCUAUGGGUUGUAAACUGCUUUUAUAAGGGAAUAAAGUGGGUCACGUGUGACUUUUUGCAUGUACCUUAUGAAUAAGGACCGGCUAAUUCCGUG
This 492-nucleotide ribosomal RNA is filed under the name uncultured bacterium. RNAcentral's name for it is "partial 16S ribosomal RNA". It matches the Rfam family "Bacterial small subunit ribosomal RNA", at positions 28 to 507 of the family's 1533-position model. The record is from RNAcentral.